CAGUAGCCGCGGGAAUACAGAGGGUGCGAGCGUUAAUUGGAUUUACUGGGCGUAAAGCGUGCGUAGGCGGCUUCUUAAGUCGGAUGUGAAAUCCCUGAGCUUAACUUAGGAAUUGCAUUCGAUACUGGGAAGCUAGAGUAUGGGAGAGGAUGGUAGAAUUCCAGGUGUAGCGGUGAAAUGCGUAGAGAUCUGGAGGAAUACCGAUGGCGAAGGCAGCCAUCUGGCCUAAUACUGACGCUGAGGUACGAAAGCAUGGGGAGCAAACAGGAUUAGAUACCCGCGUAGUCCCUGUCUCUUAUAC
Molecule: ribosomal RNA, 301 nt
Filed under: uncultured bacterium
Lineage: Bacteria
Description: partial 16S ribosomal RNA
Rfam family: Bacterial small subunit ribosomal RNA
Source: RNAcentral